Molecule: ribosomal RNA, 403 nt
Filed under: bacterium
Lineage: Bacteria
Description: partial 16S ribosomal RNA
Rfam family: Bacterial small subunit ribosomal RNA
Source: RNAcentral
UGGGGAAUAUUGCACAAUGGGGGAAACCCUGAUGCAGCGACGCCGCGUGAACGAAGAAGGUAUUCGUAUCGUAAAGUUCUGUCCUAUGGGAAGAUAAUGACAUUACCAUAGAAGAAAGCUCCGGCUAAAUACGUGCCAGCAGCCGCGGUAAUACGUAUGGAGCGAGCGUUGUCCGGAAUUAUUGGGGGUAAAGGGUACGCAUGCGGUUUAAUAAGUCGAAUGUUAAAGAUCGGGGCUCAACCCCGUAAAGCAUUGGAAACUGAUAAACUUGAGUAGUGGAGAGGAGAGUGGAAUUCCUAGUGUAGUGGUGAAAUACGUAGAUAUUAGGAGGAAUACCAGUAGCGAAGGCGACUUUCUGGACACAAACUGACGCUGAGGUACGAAAGCGUGGGGAGCAAACAGG